Pelobates cultripes (western spadefoot toad) is the source of this 490-nucleotide non-coding RNA. The record is from the annotation of a GenBank genome assembly. Lineage: Eukaryota; Metazoa; Chordata; Amphibia; Anura; Pelobatidae.
AGAGAGACACAGAAUGUUAGAGAGAGACAGAGUGUUAGAGAGAGACACAAUGUUAGAGAGAGACAUAAUGUUAGAGAGAUAGACUGUUAGAGAGAGACACACAAUGUUAGAGAGAGAGUCACAAUGUUAGAGAGGGAGACACAGUGUUAGAGAGAGACACAAUGUUAGAGAGAGACACAAUGUUAGAGAGAGAGACAAAGUGUUAGAGAGAGACAGAAUGUUAGAGAUAGAGACACAGAAUGUUAGAGAGACAGAAUGAAUGUUAAAAAGACACAGAAUGUUAGAGAGAGACAGAAUGAAUGUUAGAGAGAGAGUGAGAGAUAGAAUGUUAGAGAGAGACAGAUUGUUAGAGAGAGACAGAGUGUUAGAGAGAGACUGAGUGUUAGAGAGAGACAGAAUGUUAGAGAGAGAGACACACAGAAUGUUAGAGAGACAGAAUGUUAGAGAGAGACAGAAUGUUAGAGACAGAAUGUUAGCAAGUCAGAAUGAA